AAAUUUUACAGCGUAAAAACAAAAAUAAAUUUACCUGACAAAAGUAAUAUGAAUAUAAAAUUAUUUUGCUUACAAUCAGUAUAUGCAUGAAACACCUCAAUUGAUAUUCAAUAUGAUAAAAAUAUCGAAUCAAACAACUAGCCAAAAGAAUAAUAAAUCAAUGUAUUGUAUUAAUAUCAAAUUUACCCAAGGCAUGCAAGUAUACAAAAUAAAUACAAUAUAAAUUCUAGUAUCGCCGUUUUCAUCCCUAAUCAAC
This 256-nucleotide long non-coding RNA is filed under the name Lathyrus oleraceus (garden pea). Its description in RNAcentral is "Pisum sativum (pea) long non-coding RNA (PSAT_LNC013211)". Lineage: Eukaryota; Viridiplantae; Streptophyta; Magnoliopsida; Fabales; Fabaceae. The record is from RNAcentral.